UAAGAAUUUGCAUUUUAACUG
RNAcentral lists this non-coding RNA (21 nucleotides) under Caenorhabditis elegans. Lineage: Eukaryota; Metazoa; Nematoda; Chromadorea; Rhabditida; Rhabditidae. The record is from RNAcentral.